RNAcentral lists this ribosomal RNA (167 nucleotides) under uncultured bacterium. RNAcentral's name for it is "partial 16S ribosomal RNA". It matches the Rfam family "Bacterial small subunit ribosomal RNA", at positions 340 to 524 of the family's 1533-position model. The record is from RNAcentral.
UACGGGAGGCAGCAGUGGGGAAUAUUGCACAAUGGGGGAAACCCUGAUGCAGCGACGCCGCGUGAGUGAAGAAGUACUUCGGUACGUAAAGCUCUAUCAGCAGGGACGAAGAUGACGGUACCUGACUAAGAAGCCCCGGCUAACUACGUGCCAGCAGCCGCGGUAAU